Long non-coding RNA from Chenopodium quinoa (quinoa), 642 nucleotides. RefSeq lists it as uncharacterized. The record is from RefSeq and is a predicted model, not a curated record. NCBI's taxonomy places the organism in Eukaryota, Viridiplantae, Streptophyta, Magnoliopsida, Caryophyllales, Amaranthaceae. The transcript is spliced from 2 exons.
ACCAACCUUAAGCUGAAAACUAAAAACAUAACAUAUUAACAGUAGAUUGUGAUCUACCAUUAACCCAUCAAAUCUUACGGUCGAGAUUUUUUCUCCAUUUUUCAUGCAAAAUGUAAUUUUAAAUUUGAUUUUCUCUUCCCCGCAACGACAACUCUCCUUUCUCCAGCUUAAGCAUACUCAACUUAAAAUUUUUAAACCCAGUUGUUGGGGAAGAAAUAAAGCUGGGCACUGAUCAAUUGAAGAAGCAAAGGUGUACAACGAAAUGUGUAGCUUAGUGCACUGAAGGUGUUCGAUGGAAUGCCUGAACUAGUUGUGCUAUCAGAAGGAGAGCUUAAUUUGGCAGACAAUGAAGGAGUUUGAAGGUGCUUGAUGAGUUCUAAUGUAAUGAUCUAGUUAUAAAUUUGGUGUCUAUGUUAUAAAAAAUGAUAUCUAUGUUCUUUAAAAAUGUAUCUGUAUUUAAAAGGUUUCUAUAUUAUAAGAUCACUAUGUAUUUAAAAAGGUAUCUAUGUUAUUUAAAAGUUUUCUAUAUUAUAAGGUCAUUAUAUAUUUAAAAAGGUAUCUAUGAAAUUUCUGGGUUGUAUUUCAACCGUCAGAUUAUCUCACUAAUCAUCAACGGCUGAGAUUUGUUGUUUUUAGUUUUCA